Molecule: ribosomal RNA, 1480 nt
Filed under: metagenome
Description: bacterial SSU rRNA
Rfam family: Bacterial small subunit ribosomal RNA
Source: RNAcentral
AGAGUUUGAUCCUGGCUCAGGAUGAACGCUAGCGGCAGGCAUAAUACAUGCAAGUUGAACGGGAUUGAGAUAGCAAUAUUUCAUGAGAGUGGCGCACGGGUGCGUAACACGUAUGCAACCUGCCUCUAACUGGGGAAUAGCCCUGCGAAAGUAGGAUUAAUACCCCAUAAGAUAGUGUACUGGCAUCAGUAAGCUAUUAAAGCUCCGGCGGUUAGAGAUGGGCAUGCGGCUGAUUAGCUAGUUGGUGAGGUAAUGGCUCACCAAGGCGACGAUCAGUAGGGGGUUUGAGAGGAUGUCCCCCCACACUGGUACUGAGACACGGACCAGACUCCUACGGGAGGCAGCAGUAGGGAAUAUUGGUCAAUGGGCGCAAGCCUGAACCAGCCAUGCCGCGUGCAGGAAGACUGCCCUAUGGGUUGUAAACUGCUUUUGUUAGGGAAGAAACCCUUCUACGUGUAGAAGGCUGACGGUACCUAAAGAAUAAGGAUCGGCUAACUUCGUGCCAGCAGCCGCGGUAAGACGAAGGAUCCAAGCGUUGUCCGGAUUUACUGGGUUUAAAGGGUGCGUAGGCGGAUAAAUAAGUCAGAGGUGAAAGCCUGCAGCUCAACCGUAGAAUUGCCUUUGAAACUGUUUAUCUAGAGUACACUUGAGGUGGCUGGAAUAUAUCAUGUAGCGGUGAAAUGCUUAGAUAUGAUAUAGAACACCAAUUGCGAAGGCAAGUCACUAAGAUGUAACUGACGCUGAGGCACGAAAGCGUGGGUAGCAAACAGGAUUAGAUACCCUGGUAGUCCACGCUGUAAACUUUGAAUACUCGCUGUUGGCGAUACACUGUCAGCGGCUAAGCGAAAGCGUUAAGUAUUCCACCUGGGGAGUACGAUCGCAAGAUUGAAACUCAAAGGAAUUGACGGGGGCCCGCACAAGCGGAGGAGCAUGUGGUUUAAUUCGAUGAUACGCGAGGAACCUUACCAGGGCUUGAAAGUUAGCGACUGAUGCCGAAAGGUGUCAUCCCUUCGGGGCGCGAAACUAGGUGCUGCAUGGCUGUCGUCAGCUCGUGCCGUGAGGUGUUGGGUUAAGUCCCGCAACGAGCGCAACCCCUAUCUCUAGUUGCCAUCAGGUAAUGCUGGGGACUCUGGAGAGACUGCCUACGUAAGUAGUGAGGAAGGUGGGGACGACGUCAAGUCAUCAUGGCCCUUACGUCCUGGGCUACACACGUGCUACAAUGGCCGGUACAAUGGGUCGCUACCUAGUGAUAGGAUGCCAAUCUCAAAAAGCCGGUCUCAGUUCGGAUCGAAGUCUGCAACUCGACUUCGUGAAGUUGGAUUCGCUAGUAAUCGGAUAUCAGCAAUGAUCCGGUGAAUACGUUCCCGGGCCUUGUACACACCGCCCGUCAAGCCAUGGGAGUUGGGGGUACCUGAAGUCGAUAACCGCAAGGAGUCGCCUAGGGUAAAACCAAUGACUGGGGCUAAGUCGUAACAAGGUA